Small nuclear RNA from Papaver somniferum (opium poppy), 194 nucleotides. RefSeq annotates it as U2 spliceosomal RNA. Lineage: Eukaryota; Viridiplantae; Streptophyta; Magnoliopsida; Ranunculales; Papaveraceae. The record is from RefSeq and is a predicted model, not a curated record. The transcript has a single exon.
GACCUUUCUCGGUCUUUUGACUAAGAUCAAGUGUAGUAUUUUGUUCUUAUUAAUUAAUAUUUGAUACGUGAGCCAUCGGCUCACACGAUAUUAAAUUAAUUUUUUUAAUGAGAAACUUCCCUUCACAGCAGCAAACUGCUGGGUUCUCACGCAUCGCCCUUAUGUGCACUACUGCAAUUGCGUGCGCAUCCCCA